This 358-nucleotide long non-coding RNA is filed under the name Parus major (Great Tit). RNAcentral's name for it is "lncRNA (ENSPMJG00000002195.1)". Lineage: Eukaryota; Metazoa; Chordata; Aves; Passeriformes; Paridae. The record is from RNAcentral.
AUGAGAACCCUAGAAACGAGCCAAUCAGGAAAAGGCUCAAAAAUGGACCAAUCACGGACAGAAGGAUACUUUGUGAAAAUUGGACAUCCAACAGGAUUAAAUGAGAUGAAGGUAAACUACAACUUCAUUGCAGAUAUUUUGCCAUUUACUGACACUCAAAUACACUAGAACACAGUUAGGAUAAUUGUCUUAUCUUGAACUGAAUUUAAUAGAGGUGAUAUGUUUUAAAUUAAAUUGAUACUUUAAAUGUUAAAUCUGUAAAAGUCCCUGAAAAGAGGAUCAUGUCUAAAAAUCAGGUAUUCUAGUAGAUGUGUAAAUGUAGAAUAAAGCACCAGUCCUUAGUUUUUUGUUAAUGACA